This is a long non-coding RNA of Ictalurus punctatus (channel catfish), 2718 nucleotides long. The record is from Ensembl. NCBI's taxonomy places the organism in Eukaryota, Metazoa, Chordata, Actinopteri, Siluriformes, Ictaluridae.
CACACACCAUUUAGCUCAGAUUAAAGUAACACAAUAGUGCGUUUUCACUCUGAUCUCUCACCGCAGUGUCUGUAAUGUGUGCGAGAUUAACAUUUAUCCCGUCUGAACUGACAUGUCGGUAAAGACUGCGUGAUACCCUGUAGGAAAACAGUAGGUUUCAUGUUUAAAAACACAGACGAAGCUUAAACGGGCGUGUCAAACUGAAGCGCUUUACUAGCAGGUUGAUUAACUCUCCCAAACGCUUCCUAUACACGUACGAGAUUAAUCAGACGUUUACACAACAAAAUGACGCCAAGUGGACAUGGACGGGGAAUUGGUUAUCAUGACAGGCCUAGCUCUGAGCACAUGUGAUGAUCAUCACGUGACGUGCUAAUGAUUAACUGGCCACGCCCACUACUACAAGAGUUUAUAAUAAAGCUCAAAAACCAUUCGUUUGUAUUAAAACAAGACGUUUUGGGGUUGUUUUUUUUUUUUUAAACACGCAUGACACGCCGAAGUCGCACCCAGGAGUCGUUUUGAGUGAGUCGAGUGUACUGAAAUGUGGCGUGCUCGGUACCUUCCCCUGCAGGGGUCCCUGUAUGAGUUUGGGGUAUUUCUGAGUGGAGCUGUUGCCGUGCCCCAGUUUGCCGUAAUCUCCGUCGCCCCAACUGAACACUUCUCCUUCGCUGGUGAACGCUAGCGUGUGGCCGUCCGAGCCCUUGGACGAGGAAACCUUCUUGAUGGCACGGUGAGGUUCGAAGGUCAGCUUCUUAAGUGUGGACUGGUUGUUGGAGUCACCCAGACCCAGGCGGCCGUAGCUUCCCUUUCCACAAGCCCGGACGGAGCCAUCGGACGAGAUCACGAACGUGCAAUACUGACCGGCUUCGAUCUGGAAUUGGAAACACCGACUCAACGAUUCCGAUCGGAUUGGCCCGUCGAGACAUUAACGCGUUGGCGCGUUUCUUACCGUCUGUGCGUCGCUGAAGCUGGCGGCGAGUUUGGGCUGGAGGAUUUUCUCCUGCGUUCCCUCCACGAGCUGGUGGCUGCUGUUGCUGCCCCACACGUACACCUCGCACGUCUCGGACACCAUGGCCGCCUCGCCCGUCUGGAUGCUGUCCGGACUCGCGCACGUCCUCGAGUAAUCCGACGCCAUGCGACAGACCUGCAACGUCGCCGUCGGUAACAGUGUAAACCAAGAGAUUACUCCAUUCCUAAUUAUUUUUAAAACUUUUUUUUUUUUUUUUACCUCUUCAAACAGACAGAGCGCUGCUUCAUACAGAGAGCACAGACCGUCCGGGGUCCGCGUCGGCUCCCUCCACUGACUCCUGUCUGCAGACGAACCCUGGACCAACGAUCGUCUCAUCUGCAUGAGGAUGUUCAUGAAGCAGUCGUAUCCCAUCAGGCCUUCCUGGUUCUGGUUCUGCUCCAGGUUGCUGACUCCAGCCGAGGCGGCCAGCGCCAUCUCCACCCACUCCAGCAGAUAACGCAGUGAUCCUCUCUGCGCCGCUAAACCCAGGAGGAGCUCGCAGGCCAGUCUCCGCCCCACCACGUCCGCGCCGGACUGGCAGGCGAUCACGCCCUUCAGGAAGGCGGUGACCUGCACCAGGCAGUCUAAGCCCAUGGGCGGGAUCUUGCUCUCGUUGGCUAGCGAUAACGGCGGCAGCGAGCCCACCACCUCGAUCGCCGUGGUGAUGACGUCGUUGCAGAGGCUGAGGCCGGGCGUGGCGGUGGGCAGGGCCCAGCUCUGACGCAGCAGCGCGAAGAGUAAGCUCAGACCCGUGCGCACGCCCAUCUCGAUUAGCGCGUCCGUACUCGAGCGCGGCCGCUCGCUCGCCGCCUGCAGCUCAGACGAGUUCAGCGCGCUCUCGCCCGAGUGCUGCUGCUGCUUGGCCUUGCCCUUGUCGUGGUACUUGCUCGAGAGAGCGUAAAAGAUGCGCUGCAGCACCAGAAGGCGUUUGCGCAGAGCGCUCGCGAAAGGAGAGUCCGAGCACACGGUUUUGGCCAAAGCCAGCUGACUGGCCAGCAGCGCGUCCAGGUAGUGCUCCUGUUCAUCACGCGACAGGCACUCGCGCUCGAAGUCGGGCAGCUGGGGGCCUUUGAGGCACAGAACCUGCUGAGGAAGCAGCACCACCUCUUUAUUAAUCAGGAGCUUGGAGUAGAGAAGAGCCACGCCCUCUCGCGUGGAGAUGGACUCGCUGUCCUCCGAGAUCCAAGAGCUGUUCAGAUGCUCCAACCAUUUCAGCUUCACCGGCGGAAUCAUCGCAGCCAUGACGCUGCCUCAUUCGUUCAUUCACACGCCGUCUCACCUGAGGGCGAAAAAAAACAAAACAUACACAAUCCACUUUAUUCCUUUAUACGAUUCAUUUUUAUCCGUUUGUAGUUACAUUUAAACGUUGUGGCACUUCUGGGAAACAUUUACACGCUCAUUCCCCCACCAGCCUCUUUCUACGUUGUUUUAUUCCUUUUCCACCCCAUCCCCAUCAGCCUUUUUCUUUUUUUUAAUUAUUAAUGAUUGAAAAACGCAUCGGUGACGCUCUAACGGAUCGGACGUGGGACUACGAGUCGGAUUUCUGCGCCGAUAUUGGCCCGGAUUCCAGGAUUUGACCCUCCGGGUUUAUUCCGUGCUGUGGAUGUGGGGGACGUUAUCGGACACGACGCAGGCGUGAGAACAGAAAAUAACCCGUCCUAAAUCACAUCACCAUCAACAUAACGAGAACACAAACGAGAACAUGAAGAUGG